GUCAUGUAUAAAUGUAUUUCAAAUGAAAGCUUUAAUUCCAUUGAUAUGAUUAUGAUAAUAAAUUACAGUACGUGAUGGAAUGUCAUUUGUAGCGGUAUGAAUUAAAAUUACAUGCGAUGAAUAUAUAUGUAUUGUAGGUAUCCUGGGUAUAUAUGUACAAUGUAGGUAGGUAUAUUACAAUUAAUGAAUUAAUUAAUUUAAAUAUUUUAGUCUUAAAAGAUUAUUGAUCAUGAUCAUUAUGAUCAAUCACAAUAAAUGAUUAAUCAUAAUGAACGGUAUUUACUGAGCUUCUUCUUGUCGCUCAACAUUCUACUUUUGCUCUUUAAAGAGAGCUGAAGGGGUAGAGGUCAUUCUCAAAGGGGAAAUUGGAAUAUAAGUUACUAUUUUCUCAUGUGAAAGAACUUUUGAAACUAUAUAUUAACUUUCUUUCACCGAUUUUUCAUAUCUUGUUUAGUUCUUGAAAUAUUUUCACUUGACUGUAUAAUAAGAUGUCUGCCAUACUUUUGGUGACGUCACAACAGGGAUUAACCAUAUAAAAGUAUUCGUUGCUGACCAAAUAUUGAUUGGUAGAUGUUUUGAAGGUUUCUAGUGAUCUUGAUAUUUCGAAGGGCAAACAGAGUAUAGUUUUGAGUGCAAAAUGAUUAGUGGUUGUCUAGAUAAAAAAUAGUGCGUCACUCCUGCCGUGACGUGACAUGCAUAUCUACAAAAAUUGAAGAUGGUGGACAUUUCAUUCCUUUCAAUAAAAAUAUUUGUAGAAGUAAGCAAUGUAUGAAAAAACGGUAAAAGAGUAUUAUAUAUAGUCUUCAAAGUUCUUUCAAAUGAGAAAAUAAGAAAAUAUAUUGCCAUUUCCCUUUAAAGUUAUUUCAUUCUGAAAUGCCCAACUACGACUGUCCUUAUAAUUGUAUUUGGGUUUUCCAUUCCCUGUCAUUCCCAAUUCCAGUAACCCAAAUCCCAUUUACCCAGUCCAAAAAUAUGCAAAUCCUAGUUACCAUUUUACCCCCUUCAAGACCCUCUAUAAAUGCAGUAUCUGUUUUUACACUCAGCUACACUAUAGGUAACUAAAUCUAAAUUGAAAGUUGCCAGUGAAGGCUGGUUGGUUAGCCUGCUUGCCGCCUGGAUUUUCCAAGGGGAGAUUAAUCCCCCCUUGGAAAUUCCAGGCGGCAAGCAGGCUACUGGUUGGUUUCAUUGAACUAUAAAUAAACUGGAAGGCUAACUCAGGGGGGGGAAUUGAAGCCAGUGUAUUUUAGUUUUUCUGAGUUAUGAGCAUUGAAUGGUUGGUUUACACUAUCAAAGUUUCUGUGAUCACAGUAGGAAUUUUGCAUGGGUAAAUUCUAAGUUUUGAAGGAUUUGUAAGAAAUGUUUGAGGAAACUUACUGAGUGUUAUAAAGGAUGGUUUACACUAUCAAANNNNNNNNNNNNNNNNNNNNCUGAACGUUGGGCUAUAUAUCAAAUUGAAGCUAUUCAAAAACGCUAUUUGGUGUAGAAAUUUCAAGACUUUAGCUAAAAGGGAAAUAUUGAAAAACUACAAACAUAAUUACCGAUAAUUUGCCGUUUUGCAGUUGUUUUUGUAUUUUUUACUGUAUUUUUCUUUUCGCUGAAGUCUUGAAAUUUCCACACCGAAUAGCAAUUUUCAAUAGCUUCAAUUUGAUAUAUAGCACGACGUUUGGGGUCAAGUAUUUCAGCUCAUAACUCAGAAAAACUAUUUUGGCUUCAUCAAAUCAUAGGCCUUCAUCAUAGCAGUUAGCCUUCCAGUUUAUUUAUAGUUCAAUGGUUGGUUUACACUAUCAAAGUUUCUGUGAUCACAGUAGGAAUUUUGCAUGGGUAAAUUCUAAGUUUUGAAGGAUUUGUAAGAAAUGUUUGAGGAAACUUACUGAGUGUUAUAAAGGACGACGUUUGGGGUCAAGUAUUUCAGCUCAUAACUCAGAAAAACUAUUUUGGCUUCAUCAAAUCAUAGGCCUUCAUCAUAGCAGUUAGCCUUCCAGUUU
RNAcentral lists this long non-coding RNA (1985 nucleotides) under Paramuricea clavata. The record is from RNAcentral. Lineage: Eukaryota; Metazoa; Cnidaria; Anthozoa; Malacalcyonacea; Plexauridae.